UUCUCAACGUUGACCGCCACAUGUCAUACUUUUAUUGGACGUUGAUCGUUACAUGUCAUACAUUCGUGGCGGUCAACGUCCGAUAAAAGCAUAACACGUGGCGGUCAAAGUAA
RNAcentral lists this microRNA precursor (113 nucleotides) under Glycine max (soybean). RNAcentral describes it as "MIR1520 microRNA precursor family". It matches the Rfam family "MIR1520 microRNA precursor family". Lineage: Eukaryota; Viridiplantae; Streptophyta; Magnoliopsida; Fabales; Fabaceae. The record is from Rfam by way of RNAcentral.